Non-coding RNA from Cavia porcellus (domestic guinea pig), 108 nucleotides. NCBI's taxonomy places the organism in Eukaryota, Metazoa, Chordata, Mammalia, Rodentia, Caviidae. The record is from Rfam.
GAUUGCUUUGAUAAAUAUACACUAAAAUUGGAACUGUACAGAGAAGAGUAGCAUGACCCAUAACCUCUAGACACUGACAUGCAAAUUUGUGAAGCACUGCAUAUCUUU